RNAcentral lists this ribosomal RNA (435 nucleotides) under uncultured bacterium. RNAcentral describes it as "partial 16S ribosomal RNA". It matches the Rfam family "Bacterial small subunit ribosomal RNA", at positions 29 to 507 of the family's 1533-position model. The record is from RNAcentral.
AGCGAACGCUGGCGGUAGUCUUAACACAUCCAAUUCAAACCGGCAUAACAAUAUGUCAGUUGCAGACGUGUGAGUAGCGCGUGGUAAUUUCCCUUUUUGUUGGUAAUAACACAGGGUAACUUGUCCUAAUACCUUCUAAGCCUUUCCUGGGAAAAAUUAAUCGCCUAAAGAUCCCACCCCGUCUAAUUACCUAGUGGGUACGGUAACGGCCCAUGAAGGAGACGAUCAGUAGGUGGUCUGAGAGGAUGAUCAGCCACAUUGGGACUGUGACACGGCGCAGACUCCUACGGGAGGGAGCAGUGGGGAAUAUUGGGCCAUGGGCGAAAGCCUGAUACAGCCAUGGAGCGUGAGUGAUUAAGGCCCUAGGGUUGUAAAGAUCUUUUGUGAGGGAAGAAGAUGGAGGUACCGGAAGAAUAAGCCCGGGCUAACUUCGUG